This is a long non-coding RNA of Camelus dromedarius (Arabian camel), 4759 nucleotides long. RefSeq lists it as uncharacterized. NCBI's taxonomy places the organism in Eukaryota, Metazoa, Chordata, Mammalia, Artiodactyla, Camelidae. The record is from RefSeq and is a predicted model, not a curated record. The transcript is spliced from 3 exons.
GCGAGAGGAAAUGGAUUCUCUUAAAGGUGACAUCUAGCAGUGACGGCAAGGAUUGGAGACGCCAGGAAGUAGCAACAUGCGCCAGAAUUCAAGGUGAGCGCCUGCCCUCAGAGCCUCAUGCUCUGUAGCGUGAGUCAGGGAAAGCUCUGCUCCUGGAGGGUUUCCUUUGAGACGAUGGCCCAGGGAGAAAUCUAGACCAUCUGUCUGGUACACCAGCCACACAGGAUGGAAUGAUGGCCACCCCUUCUGGCUUCCCCUGAAAAAAAGAAGUGAGACUGGGGCCCCCAUGGAACUACUCUUGUUGGCCCUGUCCAGCGCAGUUUGGGGAAAAAAAACCUAAGCAUGGAAAACCAAGAGAGAAGUUGUUUUCUCCAUAGAAAGGCAACAUGAAAAAAGAAAAAGUUUUUAAGCAGUGUGAAGAUAUGUGAUUUAGUCCUACCUCUAUGAAUAUACUUUCCCUUGAGUUUUAAACAAGUCUCUUUUUGUUUUCUGAUAUCACCUAGUAAAGGGUAUUAACCAUUUCCGUGGUCCUAGUCCUCUCGUGGGUGUUUCAGGGAGCCUGAUAUGCCUGUGCAGCGCCUUUCUAGCACAGACACUUGAAUUUAGGAUGUUUAGGAUACAGAGAGAAGGAAACUUUGAGGGAGGAAAGGAACAGCCCGACCUGAACUUGCACAUUUGCAAAAAAAGCUGUUUAUGCUGUGUUUACCGAAGGACUUCCCCUACUUAAACCAUGACACUGAAAAUAGAAGACCCGAUAUGGUGAAAGGCUGUCUGAUAAUAAAGAACCAGAUUCACCCACCAAAUCUUACCUCACAAAGAAAACUCACGUGCAAAACCGCUGGAGUUAUUGGAGUGUGUGAUGGAAAAUGGGGAGUUUGACCACUCUAGCAUCUGAUGGUUUGUUUUCUUUAAAUCACUUGUAAUUCAAGAAGUCCCCACCUACCAGCAGGAUAUCCUUCUGCUUUCUCCCUGAACCAGGAUGCCUUCCGCAGUUUGAGAGGAAGGAGGCAGCACCCCAGGAAAUGUCAUGCUAUUCUGAAAAAAACAUCCUUUGCAGAAUCAGACCACGGAGCCUCUCUGAGCGGAGCUCUUACUGCCAAUUUCCCACAAGGGAAAUGAAAUUCACUCACCAAGGCUAAGAGGCAACAAGGCUGACGGAGUCCAGACUCACCCAACAGCAUUUCUACAAAUUCUCGACAGCCGCGUGCUAGGUGUUUAUGUGGUUCUGGACCUUGUGUCUUCUGCAAAGAAAGGCAGAGGGGGAAAUCCUGCCCGCAGGUGUUGAUGGCGUACUUCCAGGGCACCUCUAAGGCUGUAAGAUCUUUGAUGCAGUUCAGGUCAGCCUGGAGCCUGGAAAUCCCACCAUAGACCACUGGCUCCAUCUUGGAAGCCAGAAAGGCAUUUGGGAAGCAGCCCAGUAAUUUCUCCACUGCAUCUUUAAAUUCAACUGUCGCUUUCUCAUCCACAUGAACACAGUAAACAUUCUGAGGCAUGUAAAUUGCCCUGAAGAGCCUUGCAAAGGUAUCGAAAUUAUGAUGGAUGACCAUAAUGUAUGCCAAAGGAAAGUCAGCUUCUUCUUUCGAUAAGGGGGCCGUGAUGUAGUGGCUUUGGGUCAGGUAUUCCUUGCAAGAGGACUUCUCGUGUAUCAUCAGUUUGUUUCUCCAGAGGAAGGGUGUUUUGCCUUUGAUAAACGAUGCGCAAACUUGAGUCAGCAUCAAAGUGUCUGAGCUAUUUAACCUCUGGAAGCUUUGCUCUCCCCCAAAACCAAGCACAUAGAACACGAUAAAAAUGAUGACGCAAGAGACAGAAACUAUAAAGAGGGAACGCAUCAAUGAAGGCAUGCCUCCAAGAGGAGCAGGAUUGCAAAGACCGUCAAAAUCUGGAACGACACCCAGCAGAAAAGGAGCCAGGAGAAAACAGAGCAGGAGGUCAACACUUAAUUCAAAAACAUUUUGCGCUCAUCAACACAGAACUGACUGCCAGCCUUUAAAGCACGUGUCAUCUAAACUGGAUAAGGAUGGAGGGGCCACCUGCGCUGACAAGGACAACGUAUGUUAAAACGGGGUACCAGGAAGUGUGAAUGACACCGGAUAGCUGGUGUUAGGGGCUGUCCUUCCACCUCCCCCAAGGUACCCACUGAGGAAACUCUGAGUCUCAACUCAGAAGGUCACUGGUCUCCAGGAGGCUGCCACUACAGGAAACAGUUGGGGAACUGAGCUAGAAGCACUCCACACGCUUUGGGAAAAGAUGGAGCCAUUUCCAGCUGUGCCCAGAAGGAGGCUAUGCAAGGCUGUUCCGGGCUCCAUGACCUGCAGAACGACUUCAGGUUUCUAUUCUCAGGCUCCAUCUCUUGCCAGUAGUGACCUAUUGUUGCCAUUAAUUUUAUUCCCAAUCCUGCUUUGUCCUUAAUUUCAUUUCCCCUCCUAUCUUAACCUUCCCUUUUACGGUUUUGAAGCUAGGAAGCAAAGAAAGCCUUAAACCCACCCUACACUCAGCUUUUGCCUGAUUCGUAAGACUGAAGCCUUUGGCGUCUCACAGAGCAGGACUGAGCCCUGUCAAGUCGCAAAGAGCAGCUAAACACAGCUGCAUACAGCUCAGCAUUUGCAUGGAAAAUUCUACCGGGAAGCGGGGCGGUGGCGGUGGGGGGAGGACCUGAUUUACUUUCCGUAAAAAUUGUUAUGAUUUUUCACCCCGGCUAGAAGGAGGCUAGUUAAGAUUGCAGAGAUUAUAGGAAUUUGAAGUUCACUUCAUUCCUAAUAAGGAGAAAACUAGAGAGAUACAUUUAUGAAUCCUCGGAGGAAAAAAACAAAUGGUUACGAAACUCUGUCAGAUGCAGCCCUGAAUGUGUUGAGCUGGAUAACACAAGAAAAGGUGUUGAAAGCAGCAAAGAGGUGUAGAUUUAAACACCCACCCCCUCUAAGUUUCUAGGUGGUCAAAUAUAGCUAGCACAGACCAAUGCACACACACGCAAAUGGAGACCACUGCCAAGGGCUUCUCUUGUGAAAUGGAAGAAACAAAAAGAAAAAGCCACAAAACCCUAACUAGGACUCCAGCAUAAACCCCUUCAUCUCACUGUUAAAGAGCUGGCAGAAAGGCCAGAGACUAGAGAUAGCAAAUAAGGUUUUUGUUAGGCAGGAGGGAAUUGUAGCCAUUUGAUUCUUUUUAAAAAUUAAAAAAAAAAAUUUAUAUUUUAUUGACGUGAAAUUGAUUUACAAUGUUAUUUCCAGGUGUGCAGCAAAGCGAUUCAGUUAUUCAUAUACAUACAUAUAUAUACAUACGUUUCCAGAUUUUUUUUUCAUUAUAGGUUAUAUGUGAAAUUGAAUAUAUUCCCUGUGCUAUAUAGUAGGUCCUUGUUUAUCUGUUUUAUAUAUAGUAGUGUGUAUCUGUUAACCCCAGGCAUUUGGUUUUUAAAAGGAGUAGGAAUUACGGUUUGCAUAAAACCACAGAAAAGGGGUCAAAUCUUAGUAACUACAUGUUAGUGCAUGUUAGUAACUACAGUGUCUCAAUUAAAUGGGUUGUUUUAAUGCUCACAGAUAUAGAGGACAAACUAGCAGUCACCAGUGGGGGAGGGAAUGGGGGUGGAAGGUACAAACUACUGGGUGUAAAAUAGGGUCAGGGAUGGAUGGUACAACACGGGGACUAUAGCCAGUAGUUUGCAAUAAGUGUAAAUGGAAAGUAAAUUUUUACUUUGAUUUAAUGUAAUUUAAUUUAAAAAUAGUAUUAAAAAUUCAUUUUAAAAAUAAAAAAUAAAAAGGGCAUUAAAAUAAAUAAAAUAAAACAGAGAAACAAACAAACAAAAUAAAUGGGUUGCUUUAUUUUUUAAGUGAGUCUUAGCUAAUUGCUUAGUCAGAUGAUUCAGGAAGUAGAAACCUGAAUUAACAUUUUGGACCUGAAAUGUGAAUGUUGGGCAAUUUCAUCUUUUAAUCUACCCCAUCUUCGAAACAAAUUUAAGUGUCUUGACUUUGGCACUUAAGAGCUGAGUGUCCUUGGGAAAGUAACACAAACUCUCCACACCUCGGUUUCCUCAUCUAUAAAACAGGGAUCAAAACAACACCGAGACUGAAAGAAACAAUGUCCAAAAGGCACUUAGUCCUCUUCUAAGAAGACAGACCAAAGGCCAACAAGCACAUGAGAAGAUGUUCAACAUCAUUGCUCAUUAGGGAAACGCAAAUCAAACUACAGGCGAUACCACUGCACGCCCACUGGAAUGCGUGAAAUUAAAGACAGACAAUGAUGUGAAGAAACUGGAACCUUCACACACUGCUGAUGGGAAUGCAAAAUGUUGCAACUGCUUUGGAAACCAGCUCGGCAGUUCCUCAAAAUGUUAAACAUAGAGUUAACAGACACCAGCAGUUUCACUUUUAGAAUCUACCCUGGAAAAAUGAAAAUGUGUUUAUACAAGGACUUGCCCCGGAAAGUUCAUAGCAGCAUUAUUCCUAAUGGCCAAGAAGUAGAAGCAACUCAAAUGUCUAUCAGUGGAUGAAUGGAUAGACAAAAUGUGGUAUAUCCACACAAUGGAAUAGUAGUCACCCAUCUAAAGGAGUGAAGUUCUGAUUCACGGUCCAACAUGGAUGAACUUCAAACUAUCACAUUCAGUAGAAAGAGCCAAACAUGAAGAAAUACAUCCAGCUUGAUUUAUACAAAACGUCCAGAAAAGGCAAAUCCAGACAGAAAUCGAAGGGUCGGGUGUGGAAAUGGAGCGUGGCAGUAAGUGGACAUGAGGUUUCUUUGAACGGUGAUUAAAAUAUUCUCAAUUAAA